AUUGAACGCUGGCGGCAUGCUUUACACAUGCAAGUCGAACGGUGAACCAGGGCUUGCCCUGGGGAUCAGUGGCGAACGGGUGAGUAACACGUGGGCAACCUGCCCCUGACUCUGGGAUAACUUCGGGAAACCGAAGCUAAUACCGGAUACGACCUCCUUAGGCAUCUUUGGAGGUGGAAAGUUUUUCGGUCAGGGAUGGGCCCGCGGCCUAUCAGCUUGUUGGUGGGGUAAUGGCCCACCAAGGCGACGACGGGUAGCCGGCCUGAGAGGGCGACCGGCCACACUGGGACUGAGACACGGCCCAGACUCCUACGGGAGGCAGCAGUGGGGAAUAUUGCGCAAUGGGCGAAAGCCUGACGCAGCGACGCCGCGUGAGGGAUGAAGGCCUUCGGGUUGUAAACCUCUUUCAGCAGGGACGAAGCGCAAGUGACUGUACCUGCAGAAGAAGCACCGGCUAACUACGUGCCAGCAGCCGCGGUAA
RNAcentral lists this ribosomal RNA (481 nucleotides) under uncultured bacterium. RNAcentral describes it as "partial 16S ribosomal RNA". It matches the Rfam family "Bacterial small subunit ribosomal RNA", at positions 29 to 523 of the family's 1533-position model. The record is from RNAcentral.